GCAGUCGAGCGGAGUGAUGGUGCUUGCACUAUCACUUAGCGGCGGACGGGUGAGUAAUGCUUAGGAAUCUGCCUAUUAGUGGGGGACAACAUUUCGAAAGGAAUGCUAAUACCGCAUACGUCCUACGGGAGAAAGCAGGGGAUCUUCGGACCUUGCGCUAAUAGAUGAGCCUAAGUCGGAUUAGCUAGUUGGUGGGGUAAAGGCCUACCAAGGCGACGAUCUGUAGCGGGUCUGAGAGGAUGAUCCGCCACACUGGGACUGAGACACGGCCCAGACUCCUACGGGAGGCAGCAGUGGGGAAUAUUGGACAAUGGGCGCAAGCCUGAUCCAGCCAUGCCGCGUGUGUGAAGAAGGCCUUAUGGUUGUAAAGCACUUUAAGCGAGGAGGAGGCUACUGAGGUUAAUACCUUCAGAUAGUGGACGUUACUCGCAGAAUAAGCACCGGCUAACUCUGUGCCAGCAGCCGCGGUAAUACAGAGGGUGCAAGCGUUAAUCGGAUUUACUGGGCGUAAAGCGCGCGUAGGCGGCUAAUUAAGUCAAAUGUGAAAUCCCCGAGCUUAACUUGGGAAUUGCAUUCGAUACUGGUUAGCUAGAGUGUGGGAGAGGAUGGUAGAAUUCCAGGUGUAGCGGUGAAAUGCGUAGAGAUCU
Molecule: ribosomal RNA, 647 nt
Filed under: Acinetobacter calcoaceticus
Lineage: Bacteria; Pseudomonadati; Pseudomonadota; Gammaproteobacteria; Moraxellales; Moraxellaceae
Description: bacterial SSU rRNA
Rfam family: Bacterial small subunit ribosomal RNA
Source: RNAcentral